This 363-nucleotide ribosomal RNA is filed under the name Bacillus sp. (in: firmicutes). RNAcentral describes it as "bacterial SSU rRNA". It matches the Rfam family "Bacterial small subunit ribosomal RNA", at positions 485 to 845 of the family's 1533-position model. The record is from RNAcentral. Lineage: Bacteria; Bacillati; Bacillota; Bacilli; Caryophanales; Bacillaceae.
AGAAAGCCACGGCUAACUACGUGCCAGCAGCCGCGGUAAUACGUAGGUGGCAAGCGUUGUCCGGAAUUAUUGGGCGUAAAGGGCUCGCAGGCGGUUUCUUAAGUCUGAUGUGAAAGCCCCCCGGCUCAACCGGGGAGGGUCAUUGGAAACUGGGAAACUUGAGUGCAGAAGAGGAGAGUGGAAUUCCACGUGUAGCGGUGAAAUGCGUAGAGAUGUGGAGGAACACCAGUGGCGAAGGCGACUCUCUGGUCUGUAACUGACGCUGAGGAGCGAAAGCGUGGGGAGCGAACAGGAUUAGAUACCCUGGUAGUCCACGCCGUAAACGAUGAGUGCUAAGUGUUAGGGGGUUUCCGCCCCUUAGUG